Molecule: non-coding RNA, 185 nt
Filed under: Neocallimastix californiae
Lineage: Eukaryota; Fungi; Neocallimastigomycota; Neocallimastigomycetes; Neocallimastigales; Neocallimastigaceae
Description: Eukaryotic large subunit ribosomal RNA
Rfam family: Eukaryotic large subunit ribosomal RNA
Source: Rfam by way of RNAcentral
CAUACAAGAGGACCCCGGUUCAGGCGUGGAAGUAUGUCCUGUUCUCGUCCUUGAAUGAUAACUUCAAAUAUUAAUGAGGAUAAAUCCUUUGCAGACGACUUAAAUUUAUAAACUAGGUAUUGUAAGCAGUAGAGUAGCCUUGUUGCUACGAUCUGCUGAGAUUAAGCCUGUGUUUACUGAUUUGU